Molecule: ribosomal RNA, 429 nt
Filed under: uncultured bacterium
Lineage: Bacteria
Description: bacterial SSU rRNA
Rfam family: Bacterial small subunit ribosomal RNA
Source: RNAcentral
UGGGGAAUUUUGGACAAUGGGGGGAACCCUGAUCCAGCCAUGCCGCGUGAGUGAAGAAGGCCUUCGGGUUGUAAAGCUCUUUUGUCUGGGAUGAAAUUGCACGGGUGAAUAAUCUGUGUAGAUGACAGUACUGGAAGAAUAAGCACCGGCUAACUACGUGCCAGCAGCCGCGGUAAUACGUAGGGUGCGAGCGUUAAUCGGAAUUACUGGGCGUAAAGGGUGCGCAGGUGGUGUAUCAAGCCGUAAGUGAAAUCCCCGGGCUUAACCUGGGAACGGCUUAUGGGACUGGUAUGCUAGAGUACGGCAGAGGGGGGUAGAAUUCCACGUGUAGCAGUGAAAUGCGUAGAGAUGUGGAGGAAUACCGAUGGCGAAGGCAGCCCCCUGGGUUGAUACUGACACUCAAGCACGAAAGCGUGGGGAGCAAACAGG